CCUACGGGUGGCAGCAGUGGGGAAUAUUGGGCAAUGGGGGGAACCCUGAUCCAGCGACGCCGCGUGAGUGAAGAAGUAUUUCGGAUUGUAAAGUGCUAUCAGCAGGGAAGAAAGAAAUGACUGUAUCUGACUAAGAAGCCGGGGCUAACUACGUGCGAGCAGCCGGUGUAAGACGUAGGGGGCAAGCGAUAUCCGGAUUUACGGGGUGUAAAGGGCGCGUAGACGGGAAUGCAAGUCUGAUGUGAAAGGCGGGGGCCCAACCGCCGAACUGCUUUGGAAACUGUCUGGCUGGAGUGCAGGAGAGGUAAGUGGAAUUCCUAGUGUAGCGGUGAAAUGCGUAGAUAUUAGGAGGAACACCAGUGGCGAAGGCGGCUUACUGGACUGUAACUGACGUUGAGGCACGAAAGCGUGGGGAGCAAACAGGAUUAGAUACCCGUGUAGUC
Molecule: ribosomal RNA, 443 nt
Filed under: uncultured bacterium
Lineage: Bacteria
Description: partial 16S ribosomal RNA
Rfam family: Bacterial small subunit ribosomal RNA
Source: RNAcentral